This 429-nucleotide ribosomal RNA is filed under the name Pseudomonadota bacterium. RNAcentral's name for it is "Proteobacteria bacterium partial 16S ribosomal RNA". It matches the Rfam family "Bacterial small subunit ribosomal RNA", at positions 355 to 776 of the family's 1533-position model. The record is from RNAcentral. Lineage: Bacteria; Pseudomonadati; Pseudomonadota.
UGGGGAAUAUUGGACAAUGGGCGAAAGCAUGAUCCAGCCAUGCCGCGUGUGUGAAGAAGGUCUUCGGAUUGUAAAGCACUUUACGUUGGGAGGAAGGGCAGUAAGCGAAUACCUUGCUGUUUUGACGUUACCGACAGAAUAAGCACCGGCUAACUCUGUGCCAGCAGCCGCGGUAAUACAGAGGGUGCAAGCGUUAAUCGGAAUUACUGGGCGUAAAGCGCGCGUAGGUGGUUCGUUAAGUUGAAUGUGAAAGCCCCGGGCUCAACCUGGGAACGGCAUCCAAAACUGGCGAGCUAGAGUAGGGCAGAGGGUGGUGGAAUUUCCUGUGUAGCGGUGAAAUGCGUAGAUAUAGGAAGGAACACCAGUGGCGAAGGCGACCACCUGGGCUCAUACUGACACUGAGGUGCGAAAGCGUGGGGAGCAAACAGG